This 253-nucleotide ribosomal RNA is filed under the name uncultured bacterium. RNAcentral's name for it is "partial 16S ribosomal RNA". It matches the Rfam family "Bacterial small subunit ribosomal RNA", at positions 524 to 776 of the family's 1533-position model. The record is from RNAcentral.
UACAGAGGUCUCAAGCGUUGUUCGGAUUUAUUGGGCGUAAAGCGCUCGCAGGUGGUUCGUCGCGUCGUGCGUGAAAGACCCCGGCUCAACUGGGGGAGGUCGUGCGAUACGGGCGGACUGGAGGCCAGUAGGGGGAUGCGGAAUUCCUGGUGUAGCGGUGAAAUGCGCAGAUAUCAGGAGGAACACCGAUGGCGAAGGCAGGUCUCUGGGCCGCAACUGACGCUGAGGAGCGAAAGCAUGGGGAGCGAACAGG